CACUUUGUGAUUCAUGACUGGGGUGAAGUCGUAACAAGGUAGCCCUAGGGGAACCUGGGGCUGGAUCACCUCCUUA
RNAcentral lists this ribosomal RNA (76 nucleotides) under Methylococcaceae bacterium. RNAcentral's name for it is "partial 16S ribosomal RNA". It matches the Rfam family "Bacterial small subunit ribosomal RNA", at positions 1458 to 1533 of the family's 1533-position model. Lineage: Bacteria; Pseudomonadati; Pseudomonadota; Gammaproteobacteria; Methylococcales; Methylococcaceae. The record is from RNAcentral.